CUGUCUCAACGAAAGUUAGAAAUAACUUCAUCAUACCAAACAGGACUCCUGGAUGUUCUUAUGGAACCUUCAGAAGAUGUCAUAGAGGCAACCUAUGCAACUUUAACCAUAGUUUAUUUAUAUGU
This is a long non-coding RNA of Telopea speciosissima, 125 nucleotides long. RefSeq lists it as uncharacterized. The transcript has 2 exons. The record is from RefSeq and is a predicted model, not a curated record. NCBI's taxonomy places the organism in Eukaryota, Viridiplantae, Streptophyta, Magnoliopsida, Proteales, Proteaceae.